RNAcentral lists this ribosomal RNA (363 nucleotides) under Triticum aestivum (bread wheat). RNAcentral's name for it is "partial small subunit ribosomal RNA". The record is from RNAcentral. Lineage: Eukaryota; Viridiplantae; Streptophyta; Magnoliopsida; Poales; Poaceae.
AUGAUCACCAUUUGUGAAAUAUCUUCAUCAAAUCUGCUGGCAUCUCUCCAAGAAGAGAAAGAUCCAAAUAACCCUUUUGUUUUAUGUGAAGCAGAGCUGCCCAACACUCAUCACAUUAGGAUAGUAAAAUCAUUCCAGCUCUAUGUAAUAGAAAGUCUGCAUAACUACAAUUCCAUUCUGGUAUCCAAUUGUUUUGCAAUCAAAGUUGUUAUUCUAGAAACGGUCCAUGUAGCUGCUGCAGUGCCUUGUGUUUCCCUGAUUGCCAAUGAUUCAUGUCCUGUCCUAGUCCUGCCAUUCUUUUUUGCUCUGGUUGCUGAGCUGCAGUUGCAGAGUUCUGUUGGUUGUUGGUUUUUUUUUUUUUGA